Molecule: ribosomal RNA, 316 nt
Filed under: uncultured eukaryote
Lineage: Eukaryota
Description: partial 18S ribosomal RNA
Rfam family: Eukaryotic small subunit ribosomal RNA
Source: RNAcentral
CCCUUAGAUGUUCUGGGCCGCACGCGCGCUACACUGAUGCGUUCAACGAGUAUACAACCUUGAUCGAUAGGUCUGGGUAAUCUUUUGAAUGCGCAUCGUGCUAGGGAUAGACUGUUGCAAUUUUCAGUCUUGAACGAGGAAUUCCUAGUAAACGCAAGUCAUCAGCUUGCAUUGAUUACGUCCCUGCCCUUUGUACACACCGCCCGUCGCACCUACCGAUUGAAUGGUCCGGUGAAGCCUCCGGAUUGGCGCGCACCUCGGUGCCGCCGAGAAGUUGGCUAAACCUUACCAUUUAGAGGAAGGUGAAGUCGUANCA